GCCGGGUAUGGUGGUGCACGCCUGUAGUCCCAGCUACUCGGGAGGCUGAGACAGGAGAAUUGCUUGAACCCAGGAGGUGGAAGUUGCAGUGAGCCAAGAUCAUGCCACUGCACUCCAGCCUGGGUGAAAAAGUGAGACUCUGUCUCAA
Molecule: non-coding RNA, 148 nt
Filed under: Chlorocebus sabaeus (green monkey)
Lineage: Eukaryota; Metazoa; Chordata; Mammalia; Primates; Cercopithecidae
Source: Rfam by way of RNAcentral